UGUCUCAUAUAUAUUUAAUUAAUUUAAAUUUUUAGUUAAAAUGCUAAAAUUAAUUUAUGGGACGA
This 65-nucleotide transfer RNA is filed under the name Bombus lucorum (white-tailed bumblebee). Its description in RNAcentral is "tRNA-Lys". The record is from RNAcentral. Lineage: Eukaryota; Metazoa; Arthropoda; Insecta; Hymenoptera; Apidae.